This 84-nucleotide transfer RNA is filed under the name Bacteroidales bacterium. RNAcentral describes it as "tRNA-Leu". It matches the Rfam family "tRNA". Rfam says of the family: Transfer RNA (tRNA) molecules are approximately 80 nucleotides in length. Their secondary structure includes four short double-helical elements and three loops (D, anti-codon, and T loops). The record is from RNAcentral. RNAcentral also lists the same sequence under 1 other name. Lineage: Bacteria; Pseudomonadati; Bacteroidota; Bacteroidia; Bacteroidales.
GCCCAGAUGGCGGAAUCGGUAGACGCGCUAGUUUCAGGGACUAGUAAACGCAAGUUUGUGCAGGUUCGAGUCCUGUUCUGGGCA